Molecule: ribosomal RNA, 1558 nt
Filed under: Triticum aestivum (bread wheat)
Lineage: Eukaryota; Viridiplantae; Streptophyta; Magnoliopsida; Poales; Poaceae
Description: partial small subunit ribosomal RNA
Source: RNAcentral
GCCCAGGCCGGCUCCGUCGUGUUAGUGUCGGCCGGUUGGAGGGGGAGGGAGCGAAGAGGGGGUGAUGAUGAGAUGAACGGAAGGGGAGGGGCNNNNNNNNGCAGGGGGGCGCAGGGGUAACGGAAGAGGCAAGGGGGUGGGGCAUGGAGCAGCCGCCCGCCGCUGCGCUGCGCUGCGCUGCUCUCGCCGCCGCCGCGGCCGCCCCCGUCCUUACGCCUACAAGAGGUUCCGGACGAGCGAGCAGCAGAGGAGGGAGGGCGCGACGAGGAGGAGGCGGGGGCGCUAAUCCCCCGUCGGCAGCAACUAUGGCUCCCACUCGUCCUUUACCGAGCCCUUCGGCGAGUACAUGCCCUAGCCGUGCGACGACCAAUACGGGGACUCCUGCUAGGUGCCACACCCGGCCUACAAGCCGCGGCGCGCCAUGGAGACGUUGUACUGGUCGCAGAGGAGCAGCGAAGUUUAGCUCGAGCAUGGGACAGAAGUUCUAUUGAUACGCAUGUAGAACGUACUACACCUAUGACCUUGUCAACCUCAACAUCUGGGAAGACUCCGCCACGGAUAGUAUUUGCGUAACCUUUUCUCUUUGGUCUUGAACUGGAUGUAUAAUUUGUGGGUAGUAGUGAUACUAGUAUGACCACCGUUGAACCUUGACUUCCGCUUUAUACCACGUUUCCAUUAACCAAGACUCUUCCUAUUUCUAGCUUAAGGACCGUAACUGUAUUGAGAUUCGCUCCCACUGUGUACCUACAAACGCCCAGUAGUUCAAGAACACUACCUUUGAGGACCAGUAUGUAGUCCAGUACACUCGAAAAUAAAGGGACCUAGACCUCGUUAUAAGUGUCCACUAUGGAACAAAUCAGAUAGUACACCUUUCGAAAAACUCCCCUGAGGUCUUGUCUACAUGAGAAGUGAGGUUUUUUAACAUCGAGAAGGUCUACACUGCUUCCACAUGACACCUGUACUUAUAUGAGACUCGUUAAGUUCCAAACGGAACUCGUAUCUUGGUCCUUUACUUCUUGAAGUCCUUAUGCGACGUUCAUGUCGACUAGACGCGUUAUUCUUAUGUGGUUGCCACGGUUGUUGUUAACGCUCUCUCUUCGUCACGUUAGGAAAGAACUCCUGGAGUUCAGGUCUCUAUUUCUUUUCCGACAGGUAAGGUCUAGUAAAGCUACUACGUGCACAAGAACUUCAAUAGGCUGCCCGCUUCCUAUUAAAAACUGAUUGGUGUUUCCUUUAAUAGUAUUUUGCCACUGGGUUGGUAGAGAAGCUUUUCCUCUUCACCUGUUUCUUGGGCCGUUCUGGUGUUGUCUUCCUUACGUCCCUUCCUUUACACAUAUCGAGCUACAAGGUUUUUACGAAACCACUUUUAAACAGAUCGUAACAUACAUCGAACGUGUCUCACGAACAAUUAGACUAUCGUCGACCACUAAGAAAACAGCUGAUGUUUAUUUUACACAGGACAUUAGGAGAUAGGGCCCUCUUUUUUCGAUCAAUCGACAAACUAUCACAAGAAGUCAGGAACGAAGAAUUAAAAGAACGGUAAUAUUAACAAAAAUGG